UGGGUGGUAAGGAUUCCAGGAGCCAGAAGGGUCAAGUUUACCACAAGAAAACCCACAGAAUCAACUAAGCAGGGCUCACAGGGGCUCACAGAAACAGAAGCAACAAUGAUGGAGCUCAUAUAGACGUCCAUAAGGAAACAGAUACAUAAACACGAGCCUGGUUCUGUGCUGAAGGCCUGCUGGAUCUGUAAAGUGAGGACAUGACUGCCCUAAGACACCUUUGCUAUGUGGAGGUGAGGGACUACAGACAGACUGGGCAGCUGAAUAACACCUGAGUGAGGGAAGCACAGUCUGCCAUAAGCAUGCAAAGCCUGGCUGGAAGAGAAGGAGAACUAACAGCCCAUACCUGCCAUCAUGACCUCUUAAAAGCAAACCUCAGAGUUUCCUCCCAUUGUGGUGAACAGGUCACUAAAGACUGGCAAUCCCUGAUGGCACUGUGCCUACAAAUCGAAUGUCAGCCUUUGAUCACUGAAGCUUUAUAUAGAAACUCCAACGCUGAAAGAAAUAUAAAGAGCCCGUGGACCGAGGAGCCACUCUGGAUAGCUCUAAAUGUCGAAGGAGACCAUGAGACCAUGAGGAGGGUGCUCAGCCAUAGGUGUGUUUUUUCCAAUCUUCUUGUUUGGCUUGACUAUGGGGGCAAGUGGAUGGACUGCAGACUAGCGGGGGCUUCGCGGCAGGGGAUUGCCAAAUCAUGUGAUAUGGGCAUGAACUUACCUUGAAGUGGAAAAGAAUGUCAUGGAAUCAAGCGGAACAGCUAGGAAAUAUUACUGCUUCAUGUAUAGCAAGGAUAAAUGUUGAUUUGUGUUAGCGCUAUGUGAAUAGUAUGUGUACAUAUGUGGAGAUGUGCUGAGUUGAGAUC
Peromyscus leucopus (white-footed mouse) is the source of this 859-nucleotide long non-coding RNA. RefSeq lists it as uncharacterized. The record is from RefSeq and is a predicted model, not a curated record. The transcript has 3 exons. Lineage: Eukaryota; Metazoa; Chordata; Mammalia; Rodentia; Cricetidae.